Molecule: ribosomal RNA, 824 nt
Filed under: uncultured archaeon
Lineage: Archaea
Description: bacterial SSU rRNA
Rfam family: Archaeal small subunit ribosomal RNA
Source: RNAcentral
AGGUACUGCUAUCGGUGUCCGAUUAAGCCAUGCGAGUCGUGAGUUAACUCGGCAUACUGCUCAGUAACACGUGGAUAAUCUACCCAAAGGUCUGGGAUAACCCCGGGAAACUGGGGAUAAGACCGGAUAGGCCAAUACGUCUGGAAUGUGUGUUGGCUGAAAGGUAACGCCUUUGGAUGGGUCUGUGGCGGAUUAGGUAGACGCCGGUGUAACGUACCGGCGUGCCUGUAAUCCGUACGGGUUGUGGGAGCAAGAGCCCGGAGAUGGAUUCUGAGACACGAAUCCAGGCCCUACGGGGCGCAGCAGGCGCGAAAACUCUACAAUGCAGGCAACUGCGAUAGGGGGACAUCGAGUGGCACCCACCUUGGGUGUCUGUCCAACCGUCUAAAAAACGGUGUUACAAGGGCCGGGUAAGACCGGUGCCAGCCGCCGCGGUAAUACCGGCGGCUCGAGUGGUGGCCGAUAUUAUUGAGUCUAAAGGGUCCGUAGCCGGCUUUGCAAGUCCUCUGGGAAAUCCAGCGGCUUAACCGUUGGGCUUCCAUGGGAAACUACAUUGCUUGGGACUGGGAGAGGUAGGAGGUACUCGAGGGGUAGGGGUGAAAUCCUGUAAUCCUUCGGGGACCACCGGUGGCGAAGGCGUCCUACCAGAACGGGUCCGACGGUGAGGGACGAAAGCUAGGGGCACGAACCGGAUUAGAUACCCGGGUAGUCCUAGCCGUAAACGAUGCCCGCUAGGUGUCACGGCGGUCGUGAAUCGCCGUGGUGCCGUAGGGAAGCCGCGAAGCGGGCCACUUGGGAAGUACGGCCGCAAGGCUGAAACUUAA